ACCUCGUCGACAAUGGCUACAGUGUUUACAAGAGUUGUAAGAGCUUAUGAAGUAUAAAGAGAUGAAUUGAGCAUAAAAAGAAGCAAAAGGAGCUUAGGAGUGUCUUAUUCAUGGUAUUUGGAGGCUAAUGGUAAAAAACGAACAGAUUCGAACAUCAGGUCAUAUUAAGCUUUUUUAGACAGCCUUAAUAGAACUUGUAUGUAAUUCACUAUUUAGAGUGUAAAUCUGGCCUUAUGGGUUUAGAGGGACCUUAAUUGAUAUAUUUUUAGGUGAUAUAUAAAAAUUAAUGCUUGUUUGGUUUCUACAGUCAAUUUAUUUAAGUGAAUUAAUUAUUGCAAUAGUGUCAAUGAUUGAUACUUAAUUUCCAUGGUGGAUAUAUAUCUUUCUACUGAGCCGUUAACAUAUUGUGUUAGUUGCAUUUUUGAUACUUUUAGCUUUUAGUUUAAUUUGAUUAGUUUUGUUUCUUAAGAAUUAAUAAAAUUCAAAAUCCCUUGUUUUCUUUGUUGUUAGCAUGUGUGAAUACUUGUUGAGUUCACUUUGCCAAUUGUAUAUCAUUCUCCGUGGAAUCAAUCUCUAUUUGCUCUUGCUACAAAUAAGUUAGUUUAGUAGAGUACUUUAUUUAAUUGGUGCAUUCGGUACACAUCACCUACCAAGCAUGCCAAAUUGUUGCUUUCAUGAAAUUGAAUUGUAGGUGUGUCAGAGAUGCGUAUGAUUCCAAUGUGAAAUAAAUGUGUGCCGGUCUGACUUCUAAACAGAACGAUUGGUGGAAACUUUCUCUUGGAUUUCAUAACUCCACUAAGAUACGCUUCGUUAGUAUCUUUACUUGUUCAGCUUUUGUGAAAUUGGAAAAGGACUUGAUCGCUUGAGAAAACUUAAAGGA
RNAcentral lists this unclassified non-coding RNA (880 nucleotides) under Hevea brasiliensis (rubber tree). The record is from RNAcentral. Lineage: Eukaryota; Viridiplantae; Streptophyta; Magnoliopsida; Malpighiales; Euphorbiaceae.